Molecule: unclassified non-coding RNA, 262 nt
Filed under: uncultured fungus
Lineage: Eukaryota; Fungi
Description: partial contains small subunit ribosomal RNA, internal transcribed spacer 1, and 5.8S ribosomal RNA
Rfam family: Eukaryotic small subunit ribosomal RNA (bases 1-73)
Source: RNAcentral
CCAAACUUGGUCAUUUAGAGGAAGUAAAAGUCGUAACAAGGUUUCCGUAGGUGAACCUGCGGAAGGAUCAUUAAUUGAUCAUCCAAAAGAAAAAUGGCCGCAUUUUCUCGAAAAUAACGCCAUUUUUUUUGCCACUGUGAACUGUCUUGUACUGUUGUAUUAAUUUUAAAAAUGUUAUUGCCUUUUUUCUUCGGAAAAGAGAUAAUGAAAGACAACUUUCAGCAAUGGAUCUCUUGGCUCUUGCAUCGAUGAAGAACGCAGC